GACGAACGCUGGCGGCGUGCUUAACACAUGCAAGUCGAACGGAAAGGCCCUGCUUUUGUGGGGUGCUCGAGUGGCGAACGGGUGAGUAACACGUGAGUAACCUGCCCUUGACUUUGGGAUAACUUCAGGAAACUGGGGCUAAUACCGGAUAGGAGCUCCUUCUGCAUGGUGGGGGUUGGAAAGGUUCGGCGGUUGGGGAUGGACUCGCGGCUUAUCAGCUUGUUGGUGGGGUAGUGGCUUACCAAGGCUUUGACGGGUAGCCGGCCUGAGAGGGUGACCGGCCACAUUGGGACUGAGAUACGGCCCAGACUCCUACGGGAGGCAGCAGUGGGGAAUAUUGCACAAUGGGCGGAAGCCUGAUGCAGCAACGCCGCGUGCGGGAUGACGGCCUUCGGGUUGUAAACCGCUUUCGCCUGUGACGAAGCGUGAGUGACGGUAAUGGGUAAAGAAGCACCGGCUAACUACGUG
This 468-nucleotide ribosomal RNA is filed under the name uncultured bacterium. RNAcentral's name for it is "partial 16S ribosomal RNA". It matches the Rfam family "Bacterial small subunit ribosomal RNA", at positions 28 to 507 of the family's 1533-position model. The record is from RNAcentral.